GACGAACGCUGGCGGCGUGCCUAAUACAUGCAAGUCGAGCGGACUUUCAAGAAGCUUGCUUUUUGAAAGUUAGCGGCGGACGGGUGAGUAACACGUGGGCAACCUGCCUGUAAGACGAGGAUAACUCCGGGAAACCGGGGCUAAUACCGGAUAAUAUCUUUCUUCGCAUGAAGGAAGGUUGAAAGGCGGCGCAAGCUGCCGCUUGCAGAUGGGCCCGCGGCGCAUUAGCUAGUUAGUGAGGUAACGGCUCACCAAGGCGACGAUGCGUAGCCGACCGGAGAGGGCGAGCGUCCACCAUGGAGCCGAGACACGGCCCUGACUCUUACGGGAGGCAGCAGUAGGGAAUCUUCCGCAAUGGACGAGAGCCUGACGGAGCACCGCCGCGUGAGCGAAGAAGGUCUCCGGAUCGUAAAGCUCUGAUUUCAGGGAAGAACAAGUACCGUUCGAAUAGGGCGGUACCUUGACGGUACCUGACCAGAAAGCCACGGCUAACUACGUGCCAGCCGCCGCCGUAA
Molecule: ribosomal RNA, 515 nt
Filed under: uncultured bacterium
Lineage: Bacteria
Description: partial 16S ribosomal RNA
Rfam family: Bacterial small subunit ribosomal RNA
Source: RNAcentral